GUUUGACCUCGGAUCAG
This 17-nucleotide ribosomal RNA is filed under the name Dothioraceae sp. RNAcentral describes it as "partial 28S ribosomal RNA". RNAcentral also lists the same sequence under 3 other names. The record is from RNAcentral. Lineage: Eukaryota; Fungi; Ascomycota; Dothideomycetes; Dothideales; Dothioraceae.